AACCACUAUUCACCUGGAGUGAAUAGAAAACUGGGAAAACUGGACUUCUAUACUCCAAAACUCCUGGCCAUAUUUGAGAUGAAGGGUGGGGUUGCUGGCACAAAAAUAAGAAGUGUGCUGGAUUCACUUAGUCAACAACACGAAGGUAGGCGAGAUGCUAUUAUCCGCUGCCUCAUUAUCUUUCUGGGAGAAUCAUCUGAGGAGCUCAUCAAAGACUACCAGUGUUUUGAACAGAAUCAAAGGCUGAACAGCAAUGCAUCUGCUAAAAGUCAAGCUGUGCAGUUACCCUACGGUUUCAGGCUGUUGAUGAUGAAUGUGGAUGCAACAAAGAACAAAGGCAGAAGACAGGAGAUGCUGCUUUAUUUCUGAAGUGUGUCUGGAGAAACUGCAAUCAGAGGGGAAAUUUCAUUUCAUUUUGUGAUUACUGUAUCCCUGACUUUGAAGUUGUGCCACACAGGGCAGCACAACUAGAACAUAUCUUCGUCAGGGGUUAAAUUGGGGUGGAACGGACAGGAACAGCGUUCCGGCACUCUCUAGGUCGGAGGAGAGGGCAUCCCAGUCAUUGCCCGCCAGUAGUAGUGGAGAAAGCUCAGUGUGAAACACGAGCAUCAAUGAAGAGAUGGACAGAAGAGGAGCCAAGUGGAAUUUACUGACUGAUUAUUUUCAUGGGUAUUUUGUCGUGAUUUUUACUAUACAAUAACAGUGCACACCAAUUAAAUAAAUUAAUAAAAAC
Molecule: long non-coding RNA, 733 nt
Organism: Myxocyprinus asiaticus (Chinese sucker)
Lineage: Eukaryota; Metazoa; Chordata; Actinopteri; Cypriniformes; Catostomidae
Exons: 5
Source: RefSeq, a predicted model, not a curated record